RNAcentral lists this ribosomal RNA (281 nucleotides) under Aquibacillus halophilus. RNAcentral's name for it is "Virgibacillus sp. B6B(2010) Bacterial small subunit ribosomal RNA". It matches the Rfam family "Bacterial small subunit ribosomal RNA", at positions 1109 to 1391 of the family's 1533-position model. The record is from Rfam by way of RNAcentral. Lineage: Bacteria; Bacillati; Bacillota; Bacilli; Caryophanales; Bacillaceae.
CCUUAGUUGCCAGCAUUUAGUUGGGCACUCUAAGGUGACUGCCGGUGACAAACCGGAGGAAGGUGGGGAUGACGUCAAAUCAUCAUGCCCCUUAUGACCUGGGCUACACACGUGCUACAAUGGAUGGUACAAAGGGCAGCAAAGCCGCGAGGUGAAGCGAAUCCCAUAAAACCAUUCUCAGUUCGGAUUGUAGGCUGCAACUCGCCUACAUGAAGCCGGAAUCGCUAGUAAUCGCGGAUCAGCAUGCCGCGGUGAAUACGUUCCCGGGCCUUGUACACACC